RNAcentral lists this ribosomal RNA (158 nucleotides) under Ilex x wandoensis. Its description in RNAcentral is "5.8S ribosomal RNA". It matches the Rfam family "5.8S ribosomal RNA". From Rfam's summary of the family: 5.8S ribosomal RNA (5.8S rRNA) is a component of the large subunit of the eukaryotic ribosome. It is transcribed by RNA polymerase I as part of the 45S precursor that also contains 18S and 28S rRNA. Functionally, it is thought that 5.8S rRNA may be involved in ribosome translocation. Lineage: Eukaryota; Viridiplantae; Streptophyta; Magnoliopsida; Aquifoliales; Aquifoliaceae. The record is from RNAcentral.
CGACUCUCGGCAACGGAUAUCUCGGCUUUCGCAUCGAUGAAGAACGUAGCGAAAUGCGAUACUUGGUGUGAAUUGCAGAAUCCCGUGAACCAUCGAGUUUUUGAACGCAAGUUGCGCCCAAAGCCAUUAGGCUAAGGGCACGUCUGCCUGGGCGUCAC